AACAAAGUGAGAGAAAAAAUAUCGAACUUGUGUAUGUGUAAUAUGUAAACGUUUAACUAUUAAAAAAAAACAUAGAUAAUAAAAAGUUAUUCAACGUAGUGUUUCUUACCUCUUCUUCACUUUCUAGUGAGUCUUGUGGCGACUUUCUACCGCCUCGCUGAGAACAAAUGGAUUGUUCUUAACAUUUGUCAGUUUCCGUUUUCGUUUGGUGAUCU
This 215-nucleotide long non-coding RNA is filed under the name Mytilus galloprovincialis (Mediterranean mussel). Lineage: Eukaryota; Metazoa; Mollusca; Bivalvia; Mytilida; Mytilidae. The record is from RNAcentral.